This 2044-nucleotide long non-coding RNA is filed under the name Nicotiana tabacum (common tobacco). Its description in RNAcentral is "long non-coding RNA (NTAB_LNC019619)". Lineage: Eukaryota; Viridiplantae; Streptophyta; Magnoliopsida; Solanales; Solanaceae. The record is from RNAcentral.
UCCUCAAAAGACCUAUGCAAAGAGAUUUUCAAUUCUUUCUCGACAACUUCAAAUUAAGGCUUGCCGAUUGGAAGACUCAUUGCCUUACUAUGGCAGGUAGAGCCACCCUUAUCAAAUCUACCCUCAACUCUCUCUCUAACUAUACCAUGUAAUAUAUCUCCAUACCACAAAAUAUCAUCACAUUGUUGGAUAGAUAUAAAAAAUGUUUCUUUUGGGGCUCAACAUCCCAAAAACAGAAACUACAUCUGAUUAAAUGGGAGAUCGUUACAUUACCAAAAUCCCAAGGAGGUCUUGGAAUACAAAACAUCUCGCCCUACUAGCCAACUUAGUACGAAGGCUUUUUAAACAUCCGUCAUCUUUUUGGGCAUCUAUACUAGUCACAACGUACAUUACCUCUAAAAUAUCCUUCUUCAUUUGGAAAAGAACAUCCAACAAGGAUGGCACCAUUGUCAAUUAGGAUCUAAAUGGAUAGUCUCAUCUGACAACCAUAUCAAAUUUUUGACUGACAGUUGGAUUGAUCACAACACUCUCCUUAGAUCCUUAAUUGAAGGUCCCCUACCACUCCUAGAAUCCCAACGCCCAAUUAGCUCCUACAUCCGCAAUUACAACUGGGACCUUGCUAAACUACCUUUUAAUCUUUCCCAGGAAAUACUUCUUAAAUUACUUAGUAUUUACUUAUCCCAAUACCCCAAUCACCAUGUACUCUCAUCUGGAACCUCACAUUUUCAGGACAAUUUACUGUCUAGUCAUGUUAUUACGCAGUAACACCAACUACCCCUUCUAUAAACUAUGCUUGGGCUUGGAAACUGCCCACACCACCGAAAAUCAGAUACUUUCUUUGGCUAUGUAGCCAUCAUAGGCUCCCUACAAAUGCCUACUUAGCUCGCCUUAAUAUUAUCAACAACAACCUUUAUAAUUACUGUUCCACGGCUGAGGAGACUAUACAUCAUAUCUUCUUCGAGUGCUCUGCCUCAAGACCAUUAUGGGCUCACCUAGGACUUCUUCAUCAUAUAAACACCCUUCAACAUCUGAGCACUUCACUAAUUGAGCGAAUCAAGUUUUUAAUCAAAAAUUAUAAUCACCAUAUCCCCUAUAGCAUUCCUCCGUCAACCCUAAUUCUUUAUUAUCUAUGGGGUAUAUGGAUCCAACGCAACCAAAAUCUAUUCCACCCAACAACAAUCUACUCCUGCUUACUAUUUACAAAUCAUUAAAAAAAGCCGUGGAAUUCCACUUCCUCACAUUGCAACCACACAGGAACACAAAACUAACACCUCUCUACAUCAAAUGGAAACCACCCAACCACAACCACUACAAAUUAAACAUUGAUGGAGCAACUAAGUCCCGGGGGUUAAAUGGAAUAGGAUGGGUCAUACGAUCCUCUGAAGGGAACUAACUUUUAGGAUACUCUAAAUGAUAAUAGGCUAGAUUCAUGUAAUUUGGCGACUGUGUACGCCCCAGCUUGACUAUAUUUCAUUGUUAUAAGAUAGUUAAAUGAUGUUAAAUUGGCUCUAAUUGUGAAUUUCAUGUUUUGCAGGAGUGAGUGGCAUGUAUGAGGACUUAAAACUGUAAUUGGAGCUAAAUGGAAGCAAGAGAAGCCCCUAAGAGCUGAUUACGUAGGAAAACAAGAGAAAAAAGAGUUGAAAUGAAGACCCAGACUAGCGCGGCCACUAGCACGACUGCGUUAGCCCAGGAAUUCGAGGCAAAAUGGUAGGCCAUAUGUGUGGUCAUUAGCGCGUCUACUAGCGCGACUGCGCUAGCCCAGUUCUGGAAAAAUAAACUUCAGGGGUAAACUUGGAAGUUCGGGGGUAAAUCCACUUAACCUAUAGAAAGUCCAGCUCGCCCAUGGGAGGAUUAUAAAGGUUUUCAUAGCUUAGUUCAAGGCAAGGAGAGGCAAAAGGCAAGGGGGAUAAUUCAACAUCGAUUUCUUCCUUUAUCCUUUUUGUGUUUUACUAUUUGUGAUGAAUUUGACUAGUGUUAUGAUGAACACUAGUAUGAGUAGCUAUAUAUUUAGUCUAAUGUUUUGAUGGAACCUAUUGAAGGAUGA